AAAAUGGUGGCUGACUGGUAACGGUGUUCGCUUUGUAAGCGAAUGGUCCUGGGUUCGAUUCCCAUCAGUUCUA
RNAcentral lists this transfer RNA (73 nucleotides) under Culex quinquefasciatus (southern house mosquito). It matches the Rfam family "tRNA". Rfam says of the family: Transfer RNA (tRNA) molecules are approximately 80 nucleotides in length. Their secondary structure includes four short double-helical elements and three loops (D, anti-codon, and T loops). The record is from Rfam by way of RNAcentral. Lineage: Eukaryota; Metazoa; Arthropoda; Insecta; Diptera; Culicidae.